UACGGGGGGUGCGAGCGUUGUCCGGAAUCACUGGGCGUAAAGGGCGCGUAGGUGGUUUGAUAAGGGUGUGGUGAAAGUCCGGAGCUCAACUCCGGAUCUGCCGUGCCGACUGUCAAACUCGAGGGCUGUAGAGGCAGACGGAAUUCCGGGUGUAGCGGUGGAAUGCGUAGAGAUCCGGAGGAACACCGACGGCGAAGGCAGCGCCCUGGCCGCCAUCUGACGCUCAGGCACGAAAGCUGGGGGAGCGAACAGG
RNAcentral lists this ribosomal RNA (253 nucleotides) under uncultured bacterium. RNAcentral's name for it is "partial 16S ribosomal RNA". It matches the Rfam family "Bacterial small subunit ribosomal RNA", at positions 524 to 776 of the family's 1533-position model. The record is from RNAcentral.